GACUCCUGCCGUCACGCCCGGGGCUCCGCGUAGCAGAGAUCGGGAGACGCGUCUGUGCCUCCGGGGAAGCCGACCCAUCUCCCCUCCGCCUCUUUGGCUGCAGUUGCACCUCCGGCCAGAGGGCAGGGCUUCUUACGCCUCAUGGUGACAGGUGCAAAUCAUGACACAGAAGGGCAGUAUGAAGCCUGUGAAGAAAAAGAAAACCGAAGAACCUGAAUUGGAGCCCCUGUGCUGCUGCGAGUACAUAGAUCGGAAUGGGGAAAAGAACCACGUGGCUACUUGUUUGUGUGAUUGUCAAGAUCUGGAUGAAGGGUGUGAUCGUCCCUCCUCUUUGUGCUUUUUCUGAAUAGAUGGAUUACAUGUAAAUCUUUACAGCCAGAGACUUGUGAAAGAAUCAUGGAUACAAUUUCUGAUCGCCUCCGAAUUCCUUGGCUUAGGGGAGCCAAAAAAGUGAACAUCAGCAUCAUCCCUCCGCUUGUCCUGCUGCCUGUCUUCCUUCAUGUGGCUUCCUGGCAUUUCCUCCUGGGGGUGGUGGUUUUGACCUCCCUUCCUGUGCUGGCACUGUGGUACUACUACCUCACUCACAGAAGGAAAGAACAGACCCUGUUUUUCCUGAGCCUUGGACUGUUCUCU
RNAcentral lists this long non-coding RNA (633 nucleotides) under Homo sapiens (human). RNAcentral describes it as "HSALNT0058934". The record is from RNAcentral. Lineage: Eukaryota; Metazoa; Chordata; Mammalia; Primates; Hominidae.